Ictidomys tridecemlineatus (thirteen-lined ground squirrel) is the source of this 10142-nucleotide non-coding RNA. The record is from RefSeq and is a predicted model, not a curated record. Lineage: Eukaryota; Metazoa; Chordata; Mammalia; Rodentia; Sciuridae.
AGGCAACUCGGCUCUUCCAUGCAUAAGAUGCGGAAAGCAAAUCAAGCUGAGUUAUGUGAUAAAAGGCACAUGGCGCGGUUCUGCCUCUGCCUUCCCCAUGGAGGUCUGGAAGCGUGCUCUUGCUUUCAGGCACGCGAUCAUCACCGGCAGAAUAAUGAUGCUGUCUUUGCUGUGGUUUAGACCUUGAAUGAAAAAUGGUGACGAUAAUGAGGGUAAUACUUUGAAGUAGCUGAAGAUCCACAAAUCAUGUUCGUGUUUAAAAAAACCCCCCAAACCAGAAAUCUCUCCAAAGAAGUCUGUUAGAACGUUUUGACAGAACAGAUGCUGCUUAAAGAGUACAAACAGAUUUUUAACCAAAAAGAAAAAAAGGAAAAAAGUUUUGAGUGGGGGUGGGUAGUAAUCGUUAAGGGUACUGUAAUGGAAUAUUAAUGAUUCCCAGACAUUCUAUUUUUUAUGUCAUCAUGAAGAAGUGCUACAGGAUUGCAUAUUCAGAUGAAUCCGUAGAAUUUUGAAUGUUUGUAUGUUUGGAGUUUUUUAAAUAGCACAAUCCAUCACAAUUGGUACUGCUAUGGCUAAAGCAUGAAGGGAGUAUAAUUGGUACAAUUUUAACUGGUUACAUAGUGACUUUAACUAUCUUCUUUUUUUGCUCAUGAUGUACUAGAGGGGACUGGGAGUUUCCUUAGGAGUGAUGUUCUUUCAACAGGUCUGGGAUCCAAGGGUUAAUGGGCUAUCAUGGCAGUUAUGUUGUCCUAAAUGUGGAUUCCAUUAAGGAACAGAGGAACAUUUUUAACUUGAAGUGUUUGUAGCUGGUAGCUUUAUAGCUAAAGUAUCUCAUAAAGGAAGACAGUGUGUUUUGUGAUUGUAGUUAUACUUCACUAUGUAAAGAUCAGUUGUGUGAAAAUGACUCAAAAAGGUAAAAAUGAGCAAAAAGCAAAAUAAAAGUGAAAUAAAAAUAAAUAGCUAGAAUAGGUGGCUGUUAGAGUAUGUGUCAUUAACCUCACAUUUUAACUUAAACCCUCAUUUAGUGCCUUAUUUAAUAAUAAUCAGUUUUUUUGGCCUUCAUCUCUUUGGCAUAUUGUAAACUAUGCAUGUGUAGACACAGGUCAGUGUCAGUAUCAUGCAGCAGCUGUUUGACACUGGGGAUGGGACAGGUCACUAGGCUCUGGCUGUCUUGCAGCCAGCUCUUCAUUGACAGCCACUCCAAUGAAUUUUUCUUUCUUCCAUUUUUUUUCCCUUUGUAUGGGGGAUUGAUAAAUCAUUGAGCAACAACAUCCCCAGCCCUUUAAUUUUUACUUUGACACAGGGCCUUCCUAAAUUGCUGAGGCUGACUUUGAGCUCAUGAUCCUCCUGCCCCAUCCUCCUGAGUUGCUGGGAUUACGGGCAUGUAUCACUAUGCCCCGCUUCAGUUAAUUUUUCUAAAACAAAACACAGGCAUUUAGGUUGUUUCAACUUGAAGCUGUUUUGAAGAAAGUUAUUUUCUCAGUUUGACCGUGAGUUAGAUGAAUGAAGUUGCAGGCAUUGUUGUUAGGUAUGUGUUGGUAGCAGAAGUCAUUUGAUAAUGAGGGGAAGAGAAAAUAAACCUGAAGGGUAGGAGGUCUUUAAAUGGAACAGCUGGAGCUAUUCUGAGGCCAGGUGAGCGAGCCUAGAGUCCUAGUCCUAGUCCUCAGCUUCUCAGAGCUGCUGCAUUACAGCUCAGCAGGGCAAUGCAAGGUCUCAGUGAGUCAUCAGAAAUGUUACAUUAUGUUUACUUAGUUUGAUUAAGGCAGUGUGAAAGAGAUUUGGAGAGAUUGCCAACAAAACUAUUUUAUACAGACUUUGGCAUUUAAAGAAAUUAGCUUCAAUCAGAAAAUACACUAAUUAGAAUAGUUCAUUUCUCUACUCCAAACCAUUCUUGAACUCCAUUCUCUGUCAGUGUUAAAUUUCUACUGUUAUUACACUCCACCCUCUCCAUCUGUGUAUUCAACUAACCAUGGAUUAAAAAUACCUGGGGAAAAAAUUGCAUGCAUACUAAGUAUGUAUAGACUUUUUCCUUAUUACCAAAACAAUACAGCAUAACAGUUAUUUACAUUGUAUUAGGAAUUGUAAGCCAUCUAGAGAGGAUUGAAAGUAAGCAAGGUUAUGCAUUAAAUUAUAGGCAAAUACUAUACCUUUGUAUCUAUAGGACCUGAACAUCCUCAGAUUUUCGUAUCCAUGAGAGUGGGGAUUGGUUCCUGGAACCAAUACCCAGUGGAUUCCAAGGAUUGGUUGCAUUUUAAAGUUUUCAUUUGAUUUAGUUGUUUACGCUGCUGUCAAAUUUUUUAUAGAUAACAGCAUAUUUCAUUUUCCUGAAAUAUUGCUCACUUAGGAACACCCAAAGCCAUAUUUAUCCACACUUUAUGUGAAAUUAUUUGGGGGAUAAUGCAGAUACAUGAACCUUCCCCUUCACAGCAUUACCAUCUUAUAUCUGGUUGGAGGCAUAUGUAUCUGCAGUUCUCCCCCAUCACCUCCCAGAUGAACCAUUGAAAACAGUGCUGUGACCUUCACACUUUUUUCCCUGUAAAAUGAAAGAUGUCCAUUUGUACACCAUUGGAAAAUUAAGUUCAGUACGUGCUUCUACGGAAAGUCACUUUCUAAGUCAUGAAGUCACUUAAUUCUAGGUAUGGGUAAGUUGUUACUUUUCUCAUUUUCUUUCUUUUACUCCCAGAAACGUAAAUCAAAGGUAAAUCUGUAUACCCAAGUUACAUUGAAGAGUUACUUGCAUUUCAGGUUGUUAGUCAUGGGUUAUGGCUUAGGCAAAAAAGAAAUCUUUGAAUAGAGUUAUGGAUUUUGAGACCAUAUUAGUUUUGAUUAGAUGAUGUUUCCUGUCACUUUUGUGAGAUCUCCUUGCCUCUGUUCAUGAAGGACAGACUGUCUUGUUGGUCAUAGCACCCCAUGAACCUAUUAUAGUUUAUAGGACAAAUGAGAUGUUCAACAAAUAUUUGUUUAGGAAUCAAUUGUGUCAUAAACACCGCAGCAGUGAUUCUAACCAUGAAUAGCAUAUGGGAGCAUUGUGUGAAUAGUGAGACAUUCUGUAUGCAAAACUGGGUGUGUGUGUGUGUGUGUGUGUGUGUACCUAGAUUUAUCUGUGUUUUAAAGAGAGAAGAUCCAUAUCUUUAAUCAGAUUUCUGAGUGAUCUUUGUUUCUCCAGUUAUAGAUUGGACUUUUCCAGAGUGCAGACUUGUGCAAUAUUGUUUUGAUUAAAACAAAGAAAACUUAGGAGAAAGGGUUAUUCUUCAAAGCACACUGCUCACUCAUGGAGGCCCUUCGGUGUGGUGUGCUGAGUUCAAGGGCGGGCAGCAGGGCCAGUCCUCACAUAGCUCAUAAUUUGUUAGAGAAUAUAUAUUGGAUGAUUACACUCAUUAUGAAAUACGUUCCUCAAAAUUAUGUACUAAAUGUUUUUAGGUUUAGAAGGCAUACUCAAUAGAUUUGCCGUGUGUUGGCAAAAGUCAGAUGAAAUUUACUAGGAUUCAUGAGUUCUUGCUUUGGUAAAAGCUGGGCUAAAUGUACUGGGUAAAGCAAAGGUGAGUAAGACGUGAGUCUUGCCCUGAAGGAUUUUUUAAUCUAUAAUUGUAGUUUUCAAUUCUGGCUUUACAUUAAAAUCAUUUUCGGCAAGGGGAGAUAAAUAGGUAAAAUGUUUUUACUCACAUGGAAAAUUAUUAAAAUGGUACAUUUUGGAGAAAGAUCUGGCCUUUUCUUGCAAAACUAAACAUGCCCUGUGAUUCCAGCAAUUGAAGAGAAAUGAAAACAUAUCUUACUGGAACAAUCAUAGCAGCUUUAUUCUUUAUAUCCUCAAAUUGAAAACAACUGAGAUUCUCAACAGCAGGUAUUGGAGAAAGGUGGUAUGGUGUAUCAUGCAGGAGAUGCCUACUCAACAGUGAAAAGGAAUCAGUAGCUAAUAACACGUCAUAGGGAAAGCAGCCUUACACAGUGAAUUUGUUACAUGAAGUGUGAGGGUGCAAAACUAAUAUAUGGUGGGGAAAAGAUCAAAACAGUCGUUUACUCUGGGGAUGUGAGGAUGGGCAUCUCCUGCGAAUGGGCAUGCAGGACCUCUCUGGUGAUGCUAAUGUUCAUAAGUGGGAGGGGAAAUAUCACUGGGGAGAUAAAAGCAAAAGCUUGAUGUCUUCUGUCUUCUCACCCUUCACUUUCACCAAUUUGUGAUCUGCAGGAAUGUAGCCUAUAGGUAUUUUUAAAAGUUCCUCAAGUAUUCUGAUGGUCAUGAGAUUUGAACUAUUAAGUAGUAUUAUUAGUUCAUUGGUUUUGUAUUGCUAUGAUAACAAAUUACCCUAAAUUUAGUGGUGGCUUGAAACACCAAGGAGUUAUUGUCUCAUCAUUCUGUAGGUAUGAGGUUUGGCUUGGCUUGGCUUGGCUUGGCUGGCUUUUCUGUUCCAGGUUUCACAGCCUUGACUUAGGCUUAGGCAGGGCUGUAUUUCUUUGGGAAGAUUCUGAAGGCAAUCCAUUACCAAGUGCAUGCAAGCUGUUUGCAGAAUUCUGUUUCAUUUGAUCAUAGGGCAGAGGUCCCCCUUUCUCGGUGGUCAUUGGCCCAGAGGUUCUUCUCAGCUUCUGGAGAUGGGCUCUGGUCCUCUUCUUCUGUCUUAGAAGCCAGCAAUGGUGAACUGUCUGACUCCCGCCCCUUCCUGCCUCACUGCUCUCCUGGUCUUCUCUUGUGUGUGUAGCAUAUCCCAAGUGACUGUUCUGCCUUCCUCUUUGGUUUGAAGGGUGUAUAGAGUUGCUUGCAUGGAUCUUACCUGGUUAAUUGAGGGUGACCACCCUGUACUAAGGUUAGCUGAUUUCCAACCUUAAUUCCAUUUGCCAAGUUCCCUCCUAGCAGUAAAGAGGUAAAAAUUUGAUGAAAUAAUCUUGGAGGCCAGCAUCUGUAGAUCUGCAGAUAGUAUAGAAUUACAUGUGAAAUGCAGAGAGCUUUCAGAAUAAAGAGAAAUGUCUUCUAAUUAGGGAGGUUUGGGAAAACCACCUUCAAGAUGGCCACGUUCCCAUGUCUUUAAAGUCAGUGCUGAUGGAUAUGCUGUGGCACCAGAAUGGGAGAGAUUUGGGGGUGGGGGUGACAGUUUAAAUGCCAUUGAGGAUAGAGAAAGGGUGACAGUGUGUGAUGUACUGAGAACAUCCCUUACCCAUGAGCACACUCCUUGUGUGUUAAUUAUUAUAUACAGGCCAUGGUAGCAUAAAGUCAGACUUACCUAACAUUAAAGUAGAAAAAUAGGAAUGUCAAAAAGUAUAUCAUUCCAUGAGCAAAAGUACCAUUUUUAAAGGACUGGGGCAGUUUUAUGAUGUGACAUUUUUGUGUGUGUGCCUUCUCCUGGACCGUUAGAACUGAGUAGAAUUACAUGUGAAAAUCUAAAAGCUAUUUCCACAUUUUUAAGUUUCUCAAAAUUCCAAAUUUAUAGAUACAAAUCAGGAAAUGUGGACUUACAUAAAAUAUACUCCUCUUUAUAUUGCCCCCUGGGAGUGGUCUCUGACCACCUUCUAGUGGACUUUGCUGCUUUGGAAGGUAUAAUAACAUGGGGACAGACCUAGCUCAUGUGGGGAGCUGCAGAGGUCAUGUGGCUUCUCUCUAGUGUCUGCAAAUUGUAGCCAUAUCACCAUUGAUUUUAAUAGAAAUUCCACAUCAAGGAAGAACCUUUUUAUUAGCAUUACUUUGUGUCAUCUAUCUUCCUUUUUAUCCAGUUUGUUUGUAAGCUUUUAAAAAGGAUCAUGUGUGUCUUUUUGUUUUGAAAGGCACACAUCUAUACCCCAAAAAAGUCACAGAAUACUUCCUGCCAACCUUUUAAAACUACAAAGCAAACUGCCUGCGGCUGUUUGUAUCCAUCUUCUAAAGGGUAUAUACAUUAGGGUUAAAAUAUUGAAACCAGCUCGGCUAGCUGGUGUUUUGUAGAAGCCUAAUCUGAGAAACAGAAUGGAGACAGGAAGAUCCAUGGCAGAAGGCCAAGGAGGUCUUUCACUUUCCUUUGGUGGUUCACGUUUUGCUCUUAAAAUUUCUGGUGCAUACUACAUGUUUCAUGGAGUUUCCAAGGCUGCCUUCACAUCCCCUGGGUAUUUGUUUUCCUUUCUUCCUUCACACCUUCCUCUCGAACCUGAUGUAUUGGACCUGGUGACCAAACCUGUCUUCCUCUGGCAAACCUUGGUGCAGAGUAAAUUUCACAGUGGUUCCUUUGGGCACUUGGCUCCUGAAAAACACAAUCCCUGUUCCUUCGCCAUGAAGCCAUCCUCUGCCUCCGUCUCAUAUUCAGAGACCUCAGGGCCUGUUUCGGAUUCUUUCAUUUUCCAUUCAUUUUUCACAUCAACAUGCCAAGGUGUGUCUUCUGGUAGCUUGAAAUGGUGAUUAUUAUUGUUUUUUUUUUAUUCCUACGAUGCUGCUGAUUUUGAGGAUGUAUUUUUAUGCCAUUGUACCCUAUCAAUUACUCAUAUUUCUAGUUUCUUUAGGGAAAAUUGAUUUCAAAAAAAUAAAACCAAACUUUGAGGAGCCCUUUUAGAUAAUUUCACAUGCUGUGUUAUAAUAUUUCAUUUGUUUGUAAUAUUUAAUUAAAAACUUACUAUAAGGAUUCUUCCUGUGUAACCUUCCAGAUCAUGGUGUCAGUUCUUCUACUGGUACUGACACACAUUUUGUUGGAAAGCCCAAACUCCAACUUCCUUUUUAAACUUAGCAUUAAGAAAUGGAGAUUUGAGGGAAAUAUCUGUAUUUGGGAAGGCCUUUCAACCUUAAAAUCAUCAGAUUUAGCUGGACAUAGUGAUGCAUACCUAUAAAUCCCAGUGACAGGCUGAGGCAGGAGGAUUGCAAGUUCAAAGCCAGCCUCACCAACUUAGAUAGGCUCUAAGCAACUAGUGAGACCGUGUCUCAAAUUAAGGGGAGGAAAAAAAGGCCAGGGAUGAGGUUAAGUACCUCUGGAUUCAAUCUCUGGCAUCCCCCCUCCCCAAAUCAGCAGGUUUCUAAGCUUCACAUUAUUUUCUUUGAGCAAAAGGAGCACUUCUACUUAAAAACUGAAGCUACACGUGCAUAGAGCAUACACACACAUGUGCACGUGUGGAGACUCAUCCAUGCUCAGGGGCGGUCCUUCCCCAAGUCCCUCUCUGAGUAUGUCCUUCUGACUGAUUUGCUGGAGGAAGUCAGUUUGUUGACUGGCCAUUGUUGAGAUACAACAUGAACUUCAUUGUAAAUACAAGUAAAGUAAUUUCUAAUUCAGUGAAGUGGAAGGAAAAAAACAGCGUAAGCAGUUUUCAAGAGUAAUAUUUUUAACUGGACACUGUGGCUGAAGAUAACACUGCAGAUGCACCAUGAACACUACAGACGCACCGUGCUUUCUCCCUGAGAGUGAAGGCUGGCACGACCCUGGGACACUGAAGUGCAGUUGCCAUUUCUAGCAUGAGCUCAAGUCUUAAUGCACAGGUAGACACAGAUAUAGAGGGGGGUGCACAUGUGGGCUAGUAUUUCCUGGUUCUUCCUGUUAAGAGAACUUAGAAGCAAUGACACCUCAGUAACAAUUACCAACUUAGUAUAUAGACCUUGUUUUCUAAGUAUUGUUAGAAAAAGGAGCCGAGACUCCUUGGAGAAGGUCUAGUGCUGGAGCAGGGAAAAUGCAAGAUGAGUCUAGAACAUCUUGUGUUGCCAAAAAGAAAGGGACUGCCCAUAGAAGGAGAUAGGGCUGCCAAAAGAUCAACCUGGAGGAGAGCCUAAUAACCAAAGAUGGAACAGUUUGAGCAAGAAAAUGAUAUAGUAUUAGAUUAUACCCACAGAAUUAAAUAAAUGUCCAUUGAAUAAGUAAAUGGGGGAAUUGGGAACUUCUUAUUGCAGAAGAAUUUUAAUAAAUGCAAAAAGAAAAAAUACUGCUAUAUUAGGCAAAUACCACAGCAAUUAUUUUUGCACAUAAGGUCCAUUGAUUGGUGCCAAAAUUAGUGGGUGAAAGUUUGAGGAGAAACAGGAUGGUUGCAUAGUCUGAAAGUAUCUCUCUACUCAGAUACUUAAUUACGAGAGGAGAAAUGGUAACUUUACCUGUGGGCAUCCAUCUUAAUGGAGCAGUCAAGGUUACCAUAAUCAGCAAUGAGAUCUGGACCCCAGGAAGCAUUUGGAGAGGCUCCUCUUAGUAUCCUUUCCCAAAAUGUCUUGAUUCAGAAAAUGUCACCCAAACCCAAAUUGGGCUAUGUUAUACAGAAUAACUGGCCAUUCCUCUUGAGAAAUAUUAAAGUUCUGAAACAGCAAAAUGGUAGUAGUGGGAAAAUUAGUGAAAUAUGAGUGCAGUCUGUUGUUGAGUACUGGGCCAGUGUUAAUGUGUUGGUUUGGGUGAUUAUGGUUAUGCAAGAUGUUGAUAUUGGGGAGGCUGGCUGAAGGUGGACUUCAGUACUCCUUGUACAACUUUAGUAAGUCUGAAAUUAUUUAAAAAGAAAAAGAUGCUAGUUAUGUGUACAAAUAUGUGUACAAGGAAAUUAAUUGUAGCAUUGUUUGCAAUAGCAAAAAACAGUAAUGCAGAUGUCUGUCCGUGAAGGUUAGGUAUACCUUAUUCACAUAAUUGACAUAGCUGCAAAAAAGACCACACACAGUUACAUGUGCUGCUGCUUAUAUUCUAGUGAAGACAAAGGUUUAGGAGCGCACAGUCUCUGUUCAGGGUGCUUGUGUUCUAAAACCAUCCCUAAUACUUAAUAAUGAACUCUAUGACCUGGGGGAAAAUUAUUCCUCUUCCCUCUGUUCAUCAGUUUCCUCAUCUGUAAAUUGGGAAUAGAAUCCACUUCAGGGUUGUUUAUGGACGUUAAUGUGAAAAUCCAUGUGAAGCCCUGAGGGUUAAUACUUAUCACAUAAUAAAUACUUGAUAACAAAUUUUUGUACUCAGAUCAUUUUAAGGGAAUAAGUGCGGGAAAAUAAUGCAAGAUUGAUUAUAGAAUGAUCCCAUUUGUUAAAAGUCAUGUGUAAAUCUGGAAGAGUAGACACUAAUGUAUUAAAUCUCGUGUUGGGGAUGCUGCAGAUUAGGUAAUGUGUACUUUGUAAAUAAAACAUUUAAAAAUGUAUAUUCCAAAAAGUAUGCAGUUAGAGAAAUAUACAGAGAAACGUUUAAAAGAAGCUUACUAUCAGUAUUUAUUAAAUAAAAAUAACUAAUGAAAACUGUCUCUGUCAGGCUAAAGGCACUGGCUAGUCUCCAAGGUCAUUGACUUGCCUGUCACAGUGGAAGGCCCGAGAAACCCCGCUCUGCUCUCAGCCAUCCCUAAUACUUAAGAGUGAACUCUAUGACCUGGGGGAAAAUUAUAGAUUAUCAUUCUAUAAUCAAUCUUGCAUUAUUUUCCCACUUAAAACUGGUGGAUACUUCCAAUUCUUCAGAACAUGGGACUUGACUUAGAAAAUUGACUUAAUGCUCCGGAGUGUAAUUGUGGGUUGUGAGAGGUUAUCGCCAGGAUGGGUGCCAUCUGCUCUUUGUCUUGAUGGGAAAUAAACCCCAAAGCCUAAAUUGUAGAAUUUGCCCAGAAAUAAAUAAUACUGGUGAUUUUCCAUUGAAUGGUUAAAACAUGGAGUAGAGCACCAAAACGGUGCUGUGUCUGUGAGGCUGAGGCUAGAGAGGCUCCGACGUCCAAUGCUGCUGGCCUGUGAGGUGCUGACAGCUACGGAGGUCCAGGGAAGCCAGACUGCUGGAUUUCCUUCAAAGGCUGUAUGUAUUACCACACUACACACAGGAAUACAUGGAAAUAGCUCUGUAAGUAACAGUGUAUAUUUUCAAAGAAUGUGCUUAUAGUUUGGCUGUGACUAAUCAACUUUUUUUUAUUAUAAAGGCCUCCACCCCCCACCAUGCUUGUGUCAAAACCUGUAUUUUGAUGUUAUAAUGCUAUGGUCCUUUGUCUGGCCACUCUGACUUAAGUGGAUACAGAUCUGUGCAGCAGAUUAAGGUCCAUCUAUCUUUGUGGGUUUUGGCUAUAUUAGGUUUCCUUUAAAAACUGACACAUAAUAAUUGUAGAUAUUUAUGGAAUAGCAGGUGGUAUUUUGAUAGACGUAGACGUUGUAUAAUGCUCAAAUUAGGACAUGCUAGGUUUCUACAAGGACCACAGUGUGGACCUGGAUGAAACUAAGAUGAAAAAGAAAUGUAUGUCAAGGAUGUAGGAAGACCAUCCCAAGGAAUUAGAAUAAAAUGUAAAAUGCU